This 296-nucleotide ribosomal RNA is filed under the name Clostridioides difficile. RNAcentral's name for it is "partial 23S ribosomal RNA". It matches the Rfam family "Bacterial large subunit ribosomal RNA", at positions 2627 to 2925 of the family's 2925-position model. The record is from RNAcentral. Lineage: Bacteria; Bacillati; Bacillota; Clostridia; Peptostreptococcales; Peptostreptococcaceae.
CAGUUCGGUCCCUAUCCGUCGCAGGCGUAGGAAAUUUGAGAAGACCUGUCCUUAGUACGAGAGGACCGGGAAGGACGUACCUCUGGUGUACCAGUUGUUCUGCCAAGGGCAUGGCUGGGUAGCUAUGUACGGAAUGGAUAAGCGCUGAAAGCAUCAAAGCGCGAAGCCAACUUCAAGAUAAGAGUUACCACCGCAAGGGUAAGACCACAGAACGCCAAACUGGUUGAUAGGUCGAAGGUGUAGGGUCGGCAACGUAUUUAGCUUAUCGCUAAUCAUAGGUCGAGGACUGUACCAAC